This 61-nucleotide microRNA precursor is filed under the name Tribolium castaneum (red flour beetle). Its description in RNAcentral is "Tca-Mir-8_pre stem-loop". It matches the Rfam family "mir-8/mir-141/mir-200 microRNA precursor family", at positions 6 to 67 of the family's 72-position model. Rfam says of the family: The bounds of the precursors are predicted based on conservation and base pairing and are not generally known. The record is from RNAcentral. Lineage: Eukaryota; Metazoa; Arthropoda; Insecta; Coleoptera; Tenebrionidae.
CAUCUUACCGGGCAGCAUUAGAUUACAUUUUAUACUUCUAAUACUGUCAGGUAAAGAUGUC